CCUGCCUUAGCUGCCGUUUGAAGUAAUUGCGAUGAUGGAACGGAACGGAACAGAACAGAACAGACUUUAUUAUUACAUAUACCCAAUGAAAAUAGUGAAAAUUUAAUAUGUUGCUAAUUACUGUACUGACUUAGAUACAAAAGUAUCUAGACACAGCUCAAGAGUUUAGACAAUAUAAAAAUAAAAUAUCAGUUUUACAUAGCUAAAAGCUCAAUACAGCAGAUGACACUGGCACCUAGCUGCCAAUGAGCAUGGGGCCCUGGCCCCACUCCAGGCUGGCAACAUGCAAUGCCAAGAUACCACUUCAGGAAGGUACAUCGGGAGGCACCUACAGGAGGUCGCUACGCAGGUUGGGCGGUCAUCAUGCUGCGCUGGAAGGCCGCCACGCCAACACUAAUGUCAGGAGGCCACAGCGGGACGCCGGGAGAUCACUACACCACAUUGAGAGGCUACUACUCCAGACCAGAAGGACACCAUACCCCACCAGGAAGCCGCUGGGAAUCGUUGCUGGAGGACGGAAAUCAUCUCGUCGCUCACCAGAGGCCCGGAAUCCUCGCUUGCCGGAAGCCGGAAGUCGUCGCCGGAGACUGAGAAUCAUCUCCGGAGGUCAGGAAUUGAAGAGAAAAAAGGAGAAAGAAAGAAGCACUAGGAGGAAGAAAAAGAAGAAUGGGUGGAGCAGACAAGUUCCGGCUGGAGCAUUCCAUUUUGCUGUAAUCUUGCAACACUUGUCAGCUUGCACCAUCUUAUCAGUGAGGACCUGGAGCACCCAAGACCAAUUUUUCACAUGGCAAGCAAGUAUGCCUGACCAGGAGCUUGUCCCAUUGUUCCCACCUACCAAAGGCUUAUUGGAAGGAUUUGCAGGUUGACAAUUAACAUUUUUGGCCAUGUUCUGACUGCAUGAAGUUUCUGGCUCAUAGUGGCCACCUUUCCUCUGUAAAACCCAAUAGAGGAGCAUCAGCACCUAAGAGAUUCUGGCUCUCAUCUUCCUGAUGUCUUUUUCCUGAUGGAGGAUGGCUGAGAGACUUUGCUGAGGAGCAUUCUGGGAAAAGCCAGCUCAGUCAUCACGACCAGUCAGUGGAGUGAGGAAGAACUUAGUGUCAAGGAAUGGACCUACCUUGACAAUUUUUCACAUUUCGGGCAGAUGCCAGUAUUGUAACUGUGCUGGAAGAACAAUCCAACCUCGAUGGUGCUGCCAAAGUGCCAUCAACUCAUCUCCUGCCCCAACAGAGAACCGAACAUUCUGGAUCACAACCAUCAAAGAUGCCUACUGCUCCAUCCCCCGCUUGCACUUCGGAAUAAACAGAUCACAGCGCUUUGUUCCUCCUCCUAGCUUACAAGCAGGAGGUCAAACAGGAGGUUCCUUUACAAAAGGAAGUACGAUGCUGGUCCAAGGCUGUGGAAGACUGUCUCCAGGACUGUUUGUAAUCUGUGGACUGGACCACGUUCAACUAUUCAGCAGAAAACCUAGAUGAGUACGUCACCACUGUCGUGGACUUCAUCAUCAAAUCCUUGAAGAACUGCGCACGAAAAAGUCAAUCUGAGUGUUCCCCAACCAUAAACCUAGGAUGAACCAGGAAAUCCUCUCCCUACUGAAGACCAGAUGUAUAGCAUUCAAUUUGGGUGACCCAGACCAA
This is a long non-coding RNA of Rhincodon typus (whale shark), 1634 nucleotides long. RefSeq lists it as uncharacterized. The record is from RefSeq and is a predicted model, not a curated record. NCBI's taxonomy places the organism in Eukaryota, Metazoa, Chordata, Chondrichthyes, Orectolobiformes, Rhincodontidae. The transcript is spliced from 4 exons.